GUGUCAGCCGCCGCGGUAAUACGGAGGGUGCAAGCGUUAUCCGGAUUCACUGGGUUUAAAGGGUGCGUAGGCGGGCAGGUAAGUCAGAGGUGAAAUCUCCGGGCUUAACCCGGAAACUGCCUUUGAUACUAUCGGUCUUGAAUAUGGUGGAGGUAAGCGGAAUAUGUCAUGUAGCGGUGAAAUGCUUAGAGAUGACAUAGAACACCCAUUGCGAAGGCAGCUUACUACGCCUAUAUUGACGCUGAGGCACGAAAGCGUGGGGAUCAAACAGGAUUAGAAACCCCGGUAGUCC
RNAcentral lists this ribosomal RNA (292 nucleotides) under uncultured bacterium. Its description in RNAcentral is "partial 16S ribosomal RNA". It matches the Rfam family "Bacterial small subunit ribosomal RNA", at positions 505 to 796 of the family's 1533-position model. The record is from RNAcentral.